Molecule: ribosomal RNA, 259 nt
Filed under: uncultured Glomus
Lineage: Eukaryota; Fungi; Glomeromycota; Glomeromycetes; Glomerales; Glomeraceae
Description: partial 18S ribosomal RNA
Rfam family: Eukaryotic small subunit ribosomal RNA
Source: RNAcentral
AAGCUCGUAGUUGAAUUUCGGGGUUAGUAGGUUGGUCAUGCCUCUGGUAUGUACUGGUCUCACUGAUUCCUCCUUCCUUAUGAACCGUAAUGCCAUUAAUUUGGUGUUGCGGGGAAUUUGGACUGUUACUUUGAAAAAAUUAGAGUGUUUAAAGCAAGCUAACGCUUGAAUACAUUAGCAUGGAAUAAUGAGAUAGGACGUUCGAUCUUAUUUUGUUUGGUUUCUAGGAUUGACGUAAUGAUUAAUAGGGAUAGUUGGG